Molecule: long non-coding RNA, 702 nt
Filed under: Panax ginseng (ginseng)
Lineage: Eukaryota; Viridiplantae; Streptophyta; Magnoliopsida; Apiales; Araliaceae
Description: long non-coding RNA (PGIN_LNC015956)
Source: RNAcentral
CGGCCUCAGCGAAAACAAGCAACUAUACAAUAUCAACCACCAAAAACCAAUCCACAAUUCUGUUUUAAUCCUCAAAUCUCAAGCCAUCAUCACUGGUAUAGUGUGUGUGUGUGUACAACAUCCAUGAUAACCGAUAUUAACUCAAAUUUCAAUAUAUAAUAAAUCUCUUAGAAGGAAUCAUGCAGCGUAAACUUAAAAAUAUCAAAAAUAGAUAGUUCUAACUAAAAUUAAAUAAUCACUAAUCUCGGGGAUUCAAGCAAGGUACUUAUACUUUAUUCAUAUUCUUUUCUCUUUUUUUAUAUACGGGGGCUUUUUGCUCUUAUUUCCCGUUUUAUUAUAUUUUUUUUUAUACUCAUAGCUAUGCAAUGUCUUAUUCCCUUAGGCUUUUCAAUGCUACCUUAACGAUCUUUCGACCAAUGACUCCCAGACCAUUCAGACCUUAGGGCGCUAGGUGUAAAAACAAUCCCCUCGGGCUUACUUACUCAAGUAACAAAGGCCACAAAACUAGACAAGCAUGCCACGGUGUUUAUUCAUACUUUUUUUUAUAUAUAAAUAAAGCUUAUAUACCCCACAACACAAAUGUUUGUUAAUCGUGCUAUCCUUUUAUACCAGUUUCAAACAAGCUCAAGAUUCGAUUCAUAACAGAAAUUGUAUCAUAGUUCUAAUACUCAAUACUGUAUUUGUUAACCUAUUGUCAAUCAC